This 405-nucleotide ribosomal RNA is filed under the name uncultured Flavobacteriaceae bacterium. RNAcentral describes it as "bacterial SSU rRNA". It matches the Rfam family "Bacterial small subunit ribosomal RNA", at positions 355 to 776 of the family's 1533-position model. Lineage: Bacteria; Pseudomonadati; Bacteroidota; Flavobacteriia; Flavobacteriales; Flavobacteriaceae. The record is from RNAcentral.
UGGGGAAUAUUGCGCAAUGGGCGAAAGCCUGACGCAGCCAUGCCGCGUGAGUGAAGAAGGCCCUAGGGUUGUAAAGCUCUUUCGCCGGUGAAGAUAAUGACGGUAACCGGUAAAGAAGUCCCGGCUAACUCUGUGCCAGCAGCCGCGGUAAUACAGAGGGGACUAGUGUUGUUCGGAAUUACUGGGCGUAAAGCGCACGCAGGCGGCGUGGUCAGUUGGAGGUGAAAGCCUAGGGCCCAACCCUAGAAGUGCCUCCAAUACUGUCACGCUAGAGUUCGGAAGAGGUGAGUGGAAUUCCUAGUGUAGAGGUGGAAUUCGUAGAUACUAGGAGGAACACCAGAGGCGAAGGCGGCUCACUGGUCCGAUUACUGACGCUCAGGUGCGAAGGCGUGGGGAGCAAACAGG